GGCAGAGUCGCAUAGCCAGUCCAUUGCGCUUGACUGAUGCUCAAGUGGCUUCACUGAGCCGCGCGGGUUCAAAACAAUUGUUUGCGGAAGUCCCGCCUCUGCCG
This 104-nucleotide transfer RNA is filed under the name Candidatus Woesearchaeota archaeon. RNAcentral's name for it is "tRNA-Ile". Lineage: Archaea; Nanobdellati; Candidatus Woesearchaeota. The record is from RNAcentral.